UACGUAGGGUGCAAGCGUUGUCCGGAAUUAUUGGGCGUAAAGGGCUCGUAGGCGGUCCGUCACGUCGGGAGUGAAAACUUGGGGCUUAACCCCAAGCCUGCUUCCGAUACGGGCGGACUAGAGGUAGGCGGGGGAGAACGGAAUUCCUGGUGUAGCGGUGAAAUGCGCAGAUAUCAGGAGGAACACCGGUGGCGAAGGCGGUUCUCUGGGCCUUACCUGACGCUGAGGAGCGAAAGCGUGGGGAGCAAACAGG
Molecule: ribosomal RNA, 253 nt
Filed under: uncultured bacterium
Lineage: Bacteria
Description: partial 16S ribosomal RNA
Rfam family: Bacterial small subunit ribosomal RNA
Source: RNAcentral